This 1363-nucleotide ribosomal RNA is filed under the name uncultured bacterium. RNAcentral's name for it is "bacterial SSU rRNA". It matches the Rfam family "Bacterial small subunit ribosomal RNA", at positions 28 to 1381 of the family's 1533-position model. The record is from RNAcentral.
AUUGAACGCUGGCGGCAGGCCUAACACAUGCAAGUCGAACGGUAACAGGAAACAGCUUGCUGUUCCGCUGACGAGUGGCGGACGGGUGAGUAAUGUCUGGGAAACUGCCUGAUGGAGGGGGAUAACUACUGGAAACGGUAGCUAAUACCGCAUAACGUCGCAAGACCAAAGAGGGGGACCCUCGGGCCUCUUGCCAUCGGAUGUGCCCAGAUGGGAUUAGCUUGUUGGUGGGGUAACGGCUCACCAAGGCGACGAUCCCUAGCUGGUCUGAGAGGAUGACCAGCCACACUGGAACUGAGACACGGUCCAGACUCCUACGGGAGGCAGCAGUGGGGAAUAUUGCACAAUGGGCGCAAGCCUGAUGCAGCCAUGCCGCGUGUAUGAAGAAGGCCUUCGGGUUGUAAAGUACUUUCAGCGGGGAGGAAGGGAGUAAAGUUAAUACCUUUGCUCAUUGACGUUACCCGCAGAAGAAGCACCGGCUAACUCCGUGCCAGCAGCCGCGGUAAUACGGAGGGUGCAAGCGUUAAUCGGAAUUACUGGGCGUAAAGCGCACGCAGGCGGUUUGUUAAGUCAGAUGUGAAAUCCCCGGGCUCAACCUGGGAACUGCAUCUGAUACUGGCAAGCUUGAGUCUCGUAGAGGGGGGUAGAAUUCCAGGUGUAGCGGUGAAAUGCGUAGAGAUCUGGAGGAAUACCGGUGGCGAAGGCGGCCCCCUGGACGAAGACUGACGCUCAGGUGCGAAAGCGUGGGGAGCAAACAGGAUUAGAUACCCUGGUAGUCCACGCCGUAAACGAUGUCGACUUGGAGGUUGUGCCCUUGAGGCGUGGCUUCCGGAGCUAACGCGUUAAGUCGACCGCCUGGGGAGUACGGCCGCAAGGUUAAAACUCAAAUGAAUUGACGGGGGCCCGCACAAGCGGUGGAGCAUGUGGUUUAAUUCGAUGCAACGCGAAGAACCUUACCUGGUCUUGACAUCCACGGAAGUUUUCAGAGAUGAGAAUGUGCCUUCGGGAACCGUGAGACAGGUGCUGCAUGGCUGUCGUCAGCUCGUGUUGUGAAAUGUUGGGUUAAGUCCCGCAACGAGCGCAACCCUUAUCCUUUGUUGCCAGCGGUCCGGCCGGGAACUCAAAGGAGACUGCCAGUGAUAAACUGGAGGAAGGUGGGGAUGACGUCAAGUCAUCAUGGCCCUUACGACCAGGGCUACACACGUGCUACAAUGGCGCAUACAAAGAGAAGCGACCUCGCGAGAGCAAGCGGACCUCAUAAAGUGCGUCGUAGUCCGGAUUGGAGUCUGCAACUCGACUCCAUGAAGUCGGAAUCGCUAGUAAUCGUGGAUCAGAAUGCCACGGUGAAUACGUUCCCGGGCCU